GGACGAUAGUGAACCAGUACCGUGAGGGAAAGUGAAAAGUACUUCGAAUAGAAUGGUGAAAUAGAUCCUGAAACCAUACGCUUACAAUCUGUCGGAGCCUCCUAGUGGGGUGACGACGUGCCUUUUGCAUAAUGAACCUACGAGUUAAUUUUUCCGGCAAGGUUAAGUAGUUCAGCUAUGGAGCCGUAGCGAAAGCGAGUCUGAAUAGGGCAUUUAGUCGGAAGGAUUAGACGCGAAACCGAGUGAUCUACCCAUGAGCAGGUUGAAGCUGUGGUAACACAUAGUGGAGGACCGAACCGGUUGACGUUGAAAAGUCUUCGGAUGACUUGUGGGUAGGGGUGAAAGGCCAAUCAAACUCGGAGAUAGCUCGUACUCCCCGAAAUGCAUUUAGGUGCAGCAUCGUGUUAAAUAAAACAGAGGUAGAGCUACUGAUUGGAUGAAGGGGUUUCAUCGCCUACUAAUUCCUGAUAAACUCCGAAUGCUGUUAUUAUGUUUCACGGUAGUGAGGGCAUGGGUGCUAAGGUCCAUGUCCAAGAGGGAAACAACCCAGACCAUCAGUUAAGGCCCCCAAGUAUAUAUUAAGUUGUAUAAACAAAGUUAAUCACACAGACAGCUAGGGAUGUUGGCUUAGAAGCAGCGGGUAAGUUCCGACCUGCACGAAUGGUGUAACGAUCUGGAAACUGUCUCAGCCGUGAGCUCGGUGAAAUUGUAAUAUCGGUGAAGAUGCCGAUUACUCGCAAUGGGACGAAAAGACCCUGUGAACCUUUACUAUAGCUUCGUAUUGGUUUUGAUUAAAAAAUGUGUAGGAUAGGUGGGAGACUUUGAAGUAUUGUCGCAAGACAAUAUGGAGUCAACCUUGAAAUACCACCCUUUUUUUAAUUGAAAUCUAACUCAAUUAAUUGUUGAGGACAUUGCGUGGUGGGUAGUUUGACUGGGGUGGUCGCCUCCAAAAAGGUAACGGAGGCUUCCAAAGGUACCCUCAACACGUUUGGUAAUCGUGUGUAGAGUAUAAUGGCAUAAGGGUGCUUGACUGUGAGACCAACAAGUCGAUCAGGUACGAAAGUAGGGCAUAGUGAUCCGGUGGUUCCGUAUGGAAGGGCCAUCGCUCAAAGGAUAAAAGGUACUCCGGGGAUAACAGGCUAGUCUCCCCCAAGAGCUCAUAUCGACGGGAGGUUGGCACCUCGAUUUCGCCUC
RNAcentral lists this ribosomal RNA (1194 nucleotides) under Blattabacterium relictus. RNAcentral's name for it is "bacterial LSU rRNA". It matches the Rfam family "Bacterial large subunit ribosomal RNA", at positions 482 to 2538 of the family's 2925-position model. The record is from RNAcentral. Lineage: Bacteria; Pseudomonadati; Bacteroidota; Flavobacteriia; Flavobacteriales; Blattabacteriaceae.